Molecule: ribosomal RNA, 338 nt
Filed under: Carnobacterium iners
Lineage: Bacteria; Bacillati; Bacillota; Bacilli; Lactobacillales; Carnobacteriaceae
Description: bacterial SSU rRNA
Rfam family: Bacterial small subunit ribosomal RNA
Source: RNAcentral
ACUUUUAUGAGAGUUUGAUCCUGGCUCAGGACGAACGCUGGCGGCAUGCCUAAUACAUGCAAGUCGAACGCUUCUACUAUUGAGUGCUUGCACUCGAUAGUAGAGGAGUGGCGGACGGGUGAGUAACACGUGGGUAACCUGCCCAUAAGUGGGGGAUAACAUUCGGAAACGGAUGCUAAUACCGCAUAAUUCUGAUUGCCGCAUGGCAGACAGAUGAAAGGUGGCUUCGGCUACCGCUUAUGGAUGGACCCGCGGCGUAUUAGCUAGUUGGUGAGGUAAUGGCUCACCAAGGCAAUGAUACGUAGCCGACCUGAGAGGGUGAUCGGCCACACUGGGAC